UCUCAUCUGCGGUACAUAAACUGUAUUUUCCAAAACAAGAUAAAAAUCAGACUCUAAAGUUAACUUCACUACUCCUAUGAAUUCAACCUUCACUUGAAAUCCAUUUGCAACGCUCAAGCUUACUUCAUUCUCACUUGGCCUCCGUUUGCUUAUUAACCCCUGCAAGGAAUUCGCAAUAUGAAUACUAGCUCCCGAGUCUAACCACCAAGAAUUCAAAGGUACAUCUUUCUGCCAGUGACCCUUCUUUUUACAGAACUUGCAUUGAUCAUUUUUCUUUAUAACUCCUUUGGGACCACUAAAAUUUUUAUUCUGUUGACUUCGGUGAGACUUAUUAUCC
Molecule: long non-coding RNA, 337 nt
Filed under: Olea europaea (common olive)
Lineage: Eukaryota; Viridiplantae; Streptophyta; Magnoliopsida; Lamiales; Oleaceae
Description: long non-coding RNA (OEUR_LNC015509)
Source: RNAcentral